UAGGGCCUUAGCUUAAUUAAAGCGAUNGAGUUGCAGUCAGUAGAUGUAAAUUAUAGUUUNGCAGGUCUU
RNAcentral lists this transfer RNA (69 nucleotides) under Pachydactylus parascutatus. Its description in RNAcentral is "tRNA-Ala". The record is from RNAcentral. Lineage: Eukaryota; Metazoa; Chordata; Lepidosauria; Squamata; Gekkonidae.